GACGAACGCUGGCGGCGUGCUUAACACAUGCCAGUCGAACGGAAAGGCCCUGCUUUUGUGGGGUGCUCGAGUGGCGAACGGGUGAGUAACACGUGAGUAACCUGCCCUUGACUUUGGGAUAACUUCAGGAAACUGGGGCUAAUAACGGAUAGGAGCUCCUGCUGCAUGGUGGGGGUUGGAAAGUUUCGGCGGUUGGGGAUGGACUCGCGGCUUAUCAGCUUGUUGGUGGGGUAGUGGCUUACCAAGGCUUUGACGGGUAGCCGGCCUGAGAGGGUGACCGGCCACAUUGGGACUGAGAUACGGCCCAGACUCCUACGGGAGGCAGCAGUGGGGAAUAUUGCACAAUGGGCGGAAGCCUGAUGCAGCAACGCCGCGUGCGGGAUGACGGCCUUCGGGUUGUAAACCGCUUUCGCCUGUGACGAAGCGUGAGUGACGGUAAUGGGUAAAGAAGCACCGGCUAACUACGUG
RNAcentral lists this ribosomal RNA (468 nucleotides) under uncultured bacterium. RNAcentral's name for it is "partial 16S ribosomal RNA". It matches the Rfam family "Bacterial small subunit ribosomal RNA", at positions 28 to 507 of the family's 1533-position model. The record is from RNAcentral.